Chenopodium quinoa (quinoa) is the source of this 1213-nucleotide RNA transcript. RefSeq lists it as uncharacterized. The record is from RefSeq and is a predicted model, not a curated record. Lineage: Eukaryota; Viridiplantae; Streptophyta; Magnoliopsida; Caryophyllales; Amaranthaceae. The transcript is spliced from 5 exons.
AAAAAAAAACCGAGCCUCUUAUAUUUACACACACGAAUUCUCUUAGCUUGUACAUUUAAUUGUAAAGGGUAAAUAAAGCCUGUUAGGGAUAAUCGUAUAAUUGUAUCCCGCAAAAUAUUGCCCGAUACAAUACAUAGCCUGUUACGAGUUUUAAGGUUUCAAUACUUAGCCGCCAGACAUUCACUUUCUCUCUCAUUUCAGUUCUCUCUCUAUCUUGCUUUCUCUCUCCUCACUCAAGUCUCCUCCCUCAAGUCUCCUCCCUCCGGUUUACUAAGGAAUUCUAGGUGGUUUUGUUUAGAUUUACUCGAUUAUGUUAAUGAUUCGUAACAACGACGAGAAAAAUUUCUUUUAUUCUUCUCUGAGGUACCUCCGGUACUACAACAAUGGCGUCGCUGAGUUUUUCAGCUUCUACUAUUACUCCCAUGGCUUUGUUUCUACCUACUCCUUCAUCUUCAAACGUAUCAACUUCUUCGUCAUCGUUCUGCAAGCAGUCGUCGUCUUUGAUGAGUUUUGUGCUCCUGAUGAAGAGAAGAUGACUCCUCGUUCUCCUCUUGAUUUUCCAAUCAGUAGUUGGUAUUCAUGCUAUAGAAGCCCCAGUUCUUCACCUCGUGUCUAAAGGGCUCAGCAACUUUGUUGUGGCAUGGACCUUCAUGUUUGCUCCUUCUACUAUACACUGAUUUUAAGAAUGAUUCCUUGCUCAAAUGUUCACCAGUCAAUGUAAAUGACCGUUUGCUAGAACAUGUUGAAACAAACAGGAGGAAAGCACAAGCUACUCAUAGUUAAAGAGUGCUUGAUCUCCAUGGGUUAGAUCAUAAGGUUACUAUGGCUAACCUAAUUAUCUGCAGCAGCAUGGAUUAAUAGCAUAGCAGGUUCAGACAUUCAAUUUUGGUUCUACAGCCUAAGCAAAUGCAGUAACCCAUACAGGUAUGCUAGAGGGAAAAGCUCAUAUCUAUCUGCAUGACGAGAUGCAUAUAAUUCUAUCACUCUAUGUUGUGUUAAUUGUAUGCUAUCUAUUGCUAGGGUAUUGGAUAAAUUAGCUGAAUACUGCUUACCACACUUCAGAAAUAACUAGUACGGAGUACUUUGUAAGGUACUUGCUAAGAAUUUAAAAUAUUAAGCAAAAAUUCAAUCCUUGUAAAGCUAUACUUUCUUAGUCAAAACAAUUUUCUGAAUAGUGACUACUACAUGUCUAAAAGAUACUUUUAUUACAAAA